GGAAUAUUGGACAAUGGGCGAAAGCCUGAUCCAGCCAUGCCGCGUGUGUGAAGAAGGUCUUCGGAUUGUAAAGCACUUUAAGUUGGGAGGAAGGGCAUUAACCUAAUACGUUAGUGUUUUGACGUUACCGACAGAAUAAGCACCGGCUAACUCUGUGCCAGCAGCCGCGGUAAUACAGAGGGUGCAAGCGUUAAUCGGAAUUACUGGGCGUAAAGCGCGCGUAGGUGGUUUGUUAAGUUGAAUGUGAAAUCCCCGGGCUCAACCUGGGAACUGCAUCCAAAACUGGCAAGCUAGAGUAUGGUAGAGGGUAGUGGAAUUUCCUGUGUAGCGGUGAAAUGCGUAGAUAUAGGAAGGAACACCAGUGGCGAAGGCGACUACCUGGACUGAUACUGACACUGAGGUGCGAAAGCGUGGGGAGCAAACAGGAUUAGAUACCCCAG
Molecule: ribosomal RNA, 440 nt
Filed under: uncultured Pseudomonas sp.
Lineage: Bacteria; Pseudomonadati; Pseudomonadota; Gammaproteobacteria; Pseudomonadales; Pseudomonadaceae
Description: bacterial SSU rRNA
Rfam family: Bacterial small subunit ribosomal RNA
Source: RNAcentral